Molecule: long non-coding RNA, 2831 nt
Organism: Phycodurus eques (leafy seadragon)
Lineage: Eukaryota; Metazoa; Chordata; Actinopteri; Syngnathiformes; Syngnathidae
Exons: 4
Source: RefSeq, a predicted model, not a curated record
GAGGGAGGGAAAGGAAGGAGAGCGGAAGAUGGGAGACGUGCCAACACCUUGGUGUCGUUUUUCGUCGACACUGAGAAGGAUUCGAAUGUUUGGGUUCUGAUUAUCGUGUGGGUUUGCCCACCUCGAGGAGCCUCUUGGAGCUUGACAACACCGGGGAUCAAAAUGAAGGUGAUGAGGUUGUGGUCCAGUCCAGUGACAACUCGUGAUGGCCGCCAUUGAAGACGAUUUGACGCAGAGGAAGUGAGCAUAAUCCCAAACGACGGCAAGCAGAACUGCGGCGUGUGACUUCCUGUCAAGCGAAGUGUGGUUUCUCGCUCUGCCGGAGGUGAUGCCAGGAAAGGGUAAAGCUGAAGCGGUGAGAAGAAAUAUCAUCAUCAUCCUCCGCCGUGUACGGGAGCCUAAUAAAUGAAGUCCGUUGGAGAAAAUCCAGCAAAUCCCCGUGUUUGUUUUAGUACUCACGGUUUUCGAGAGCAACCCAGCAGCAGCGCGGCGCCGACGGCGACGACGACGGCUAGCAGGACGUACAGCCAGGAUCCUUUCACUAAUGCGCAGGAGGAAAUCAGCAGCCAAUUAAAAGGUUUUAUCCAGUGUAAAUACUGUACAUUGGGACAAGCCGAAAGUCACAACAACAACUGUUGCAGUGUUGUAAGUCUGCCUUUAAGGGGCGUGGCCAAGUGAGACAUCGAGACUGCAGGUCCGGUUGACCCAACUCGGCCGGUUAGACUUCACGUGAGCAUCGGCGACUGCCCACAUGCGAGGGCAUUACAGUAGCAUAAUUGCUCCAGGUUUUUCCUUUCACUUCACUCGAGAGGCAGCGUAUGUGAAGCUAGCAUAACUCAAAUUUGGAGUUAUGCUAAAGUUGAGUAAAAAAACAAAAAAAAACAACCAAAAAACAACUAAUGCCUGGAUCGGACCACAACAAAUUUGAUAUGUCAGACUACUGCUCUAAAAUCCUGCCGAGAACACUGGCAACCCUACACGACAAAUAUCACAGUAUCACCGUAUCCCGUCUUUGACAAUCAUACGGUUAAUAUUGUAAAGAUUGGGUAAACUACCGGCUACAAUAACGGAUACCACGGUGCGAGUUUUGAUUGUGGCAAUGUUUUCUGUUGACAAUAAAGAGCAAAGACGAAAUAACUUCUGUGGUGUCGUCCCCGGAGGAGCUUGAGGUCAUGGUUCACAUGCUUUUAAUACUGCUAGCAGGUUGUUUUGCCGACUGGAACUCAGUCAGACGCUCUAUGUGUCUGCUUAAUGUCGGAACUGACUCGCUACUCUGUUCUGCGAAUUCUGCCUAGCAACAAACGGGAACUGAAUCCCUACUCUGUUCUGCGAAUUCUGCCUAGCAACAAACGGGAACUGAAUCCCUACUCUGUUCUGCGAAUUCUGCCUAGCAACAAACGGGAACUGAAUCGCUACUCUGUUCGACAAAUUCUCCCUCGCAACAAAUUGGAACUAAAUCGCUACUCUGUUCUUUUUUUGUUGUUGUCCUGUUCGGCUGUUAGGUCAAGCAGAAUGGAAAAUCUGUAUCCCUUUAAUGCCGAAACAGUUUUACUGCGUCACAGUGGAGUUUUUAAGGUUCCGCGGUGGCAUUAUAAUGAGGUUUAUUGAGAAUCAGACUUGAUCAGUCGAACAGGACAAAGUUUGUAGAUGGGAGAAAGAAACAAAGACAAAAGACAAAGCACUAAUUGUAAACAGGAUGAGCGAAGUAAAUUAUUACAUUAUCGACAACAAUGAAAGGUUAAAUAUGAGUGUUGCAUGGGGCUGUGGUGCUCCACCCUGGGAGGGAAGGACAGGACAAGAUAGAACAGGACAAGGACAGGAGAAGAAGCAUGCAGGACAAGGGUCGUGAACCCGGCUGUACAAUUGAAGUGUGGUGGCAUUAAUGAUGUAAAUUAUAAAAGUGUACAGGGCGAGAGGAUAAGUGAGGGGAUACACAUGCGAUUUGCACAUUCACGAGUUAUUUGUUGCAGUAAGGGGUGUGUGCCUGCGGAUACAUGCAAGUGAAUUGAUACCGUUUUACAUGCACAAACACUGACAGAGGUGUCCUGUAAUCGCGGCGGCGGGGGACCCCACCCGAUCAUUCGAGGGGCGGGAUCUGGCCCAGGGGUCCACCCGAGAGCAGCCCGGCGGACGGGACACGUCCCACACCGAGGGAUCCGGGGCGCUCCGCCGGCCCCACCGAGACGCCCCGACAACCGGCCACCCGGCGGGGGCCGCAGGGACCCGACGGUCCCUGGGUCUCGCCACUCUGUUCUACAAAUUCUGUCUAGCAACAAACGGGAACUGAAGCGCUACUGGUCUACGAAUUCUGCUUAGCAACAAACGGGAACUGAAUCACUACUCUGUUCCACGAAUUCUGCCUAGCAACAAAUGGGACCUAAAUUGCUACUCUGUUCUACGUAUUCUGCCUAGCAACAAACGGGAACUGAAUCGCUACUGUUCUACGAAUUCUGCCUAGCAACAAACAGGAACUGAAUUGUUACUCUGUUUUACGAACUCUGCCCAGCAACCUUGCUGUCUCCUUGGCCACACUGCAAAUCAUGGCAGAAAAAGGUCAGGAAGAGCCGGCAGGAACACAAUAAGACACAUGCUUAAUGUCAGAACUGAAUCACUACUCUGUAUUACAUAUAAACAGGUUUUACAAUGUACAUGAGUAUCUCCCUGUGUAACAAUCAAUAAAAUAGAGACUCGCUUCUCCGUUACCUCCGACGUCCGCUGAGUUUGUCGGCGUGGUCGUCCACUUGACCGUGAAACUCCACUCGCUCCACGGGCCCUGAGACGGGUUACUGGGACACAACUUGGCCUGGACCGCCACGCUACACGUGGCACGG